GUGGUUCCAGUUGUCUUUAUACUGAGUAUUGUUGUUUGGCUUCUCAGGAUCAUGAAUGAGAAGAUGACGCUGAGAAACGAGAUCAUGGGAUCCGAGCUUAACAUGCUGAGAAUUGACAAAGCUAAUUUUUUAAAAGAAAAACGCUUAGGUUCAAAUGGAAAUGGGAAUAAAUAUGACUGAUGCAGAUGUACGCUCAUACACUUUCAUUCGAGAUCAUGCUAUCAGAAGAAAUGGAUGGAUUACCUUGAUAAUAAGAUCUUCUGAUUUUAUCUUCUAUAAAACAAAUAAAAGACUGAAAAUAUGUUAAGCUCGAUAGGAGAAGAUAAAACAAACAUUUUUCUGUAUAGAUGUCAAAAUAAUGUGCGGAAUAAUAAGAUGAUUAAACUGUAGUUGAACUGAAUUGAGUGAAUGUUAGAUAGCUGGUAGCCAUCAUAACUUAACUAUUAAAUUUCCCGUUAGCUAACUUUUAGUAGUUCCAGAUUUGAAAAUAAUUAAUUUUUGAUAUUGUUUUUUUUUGCUUUUAUAGCUUUUGUCUAAGGUUUUUUCAGCAUUUUUAAUAAGUUUUACGAGCAUGGAGCUAUGACCUUAAAGAACGAUAACUUAAAUUAAAUAAUUUUCCGCAUGUGUUUUUUUGAUAAUAAAGUGAACCUGCCACGUAGUUACGUUUUUAAAAAUGAUAUUAUUCAAUUCUGCAAACAAAACCUGAAUCUGAGAAUAUUUUUUAGUUAUAUUAAUUGUAUUUAUCAGCCAUCUUGUUACUGUACACGAAA
Molecule: long non-coding RNA, 770 nt
Organism: Bolinopsis microptera
Lineage: Eukaryota; Metazoa; Ctenophora; Tentaculata; Lobata; Bolinopsidae
Exons: 2
Source: RefSeq, a predicted model, not a curated record